GAGGGUGCAGCUCAGUGGGGGAGCAUGUGCUUAGCAUGCACGAGGCCCCGGGUUCCAUCCCCAGUACCUCCU
This 72-nucleotide transfer RNA is filed under the name Camelus bactrianus (Bactrian camel). It matches the Rfam family "tRNA". Rfam says of the family: Transfer RNA (tRNA) molecules are approximately 80 nucleotides in length. Their secondary structure includes four short double-helical elements and three loops (D, anti-codon, and T loops). RNAcentral also lists the same sequence under 1 other name. The record is from Rfam by way of RNAcentral. Lineage: Eukaryota; Metazoa; Chordata; Mammalia; Artiodactyla; Camelidae.